AGAGUUUGAUCCUGGCUCAGAUUGAACGCUGGCGGCAUGCUUUAGACAUGCAAGUCGAACGCGAAAGUAGACUUCGGUCUGCGAGUAGAGUGGCGAACGGGUGAGUAACACGUAGGAAUCUGCCCUAAAGUGGGGGACAACUCCGCGAAAGCGGAGCUAAUACCGCAUAAUCUCUUCGGAGAAAAGCAGGGGAUCUUUCGGGACCUUGUGCUUUAGGAUGAGCCUGCGCCGGAUUAGCUUGUUGGUGGGGUAAUGGCCUACCAAGGCAGCGAUCCGUAGCUGGUCUGAGAGGACGAUCAGCCACAUUGGGACUGAGACACGGCCCAAACUCCUACGGGAGGCAGCAGUCGGGAAUAUUGGACAAUGGGCGAAAGCCUGAUCCAGCAAUGCCGCGUGUGUGAAGAAGGCCUGCGGGUUGUAAAGCACUUUCAGUGGGGAGGAAAUAUUCAAGGUUAAUACCCUUGGAGGUUGACGUUAUCCACAGAAGAAGCACCGGCUAACUCUGUGCCAGCAGCCGCGGUAAUACAGAGGGUGCAAGCGUUAAUCGAAAUUACUGGGCGUAAAGCGUACGUAGGCGGAAACUCAAGUCGGAUGUGAAAACCCUGGGCUUAACCUGGGAACUGCAUUCGAUACUGUGUUUCUAGAGUAUGGUAGAGGAAAGUGGAAUUUCCGGUGUAGCGGUGAAAUGCGUAGAUAUCGGAAAGAACACCAGUGGCGAAGGCGACUUUCUGGACCAAUACUGACGCUGAGGUACGAAAGCGUGGGGAGCAAACAGGAUUAGAGACCCUGGUAGUCCACGCCGUAAACGAUGAGAACUAGACGUUAGUCUCCUUCGGGAGGGUAGUGUCGUAGCUAACGCGUUAAGUUCUCCGCCUGGGGAGUACGGUCGCAAGAUUAAAACUCAAAGGAAUUGACGGGGGCCCGCACAAGCGGUGGAGCAUGUGGUUUAAUUCGAUGCUACGCGAAGAGCCUUACCUACCCUUGAAAUCCUCGGAAUCCUCUAGAGAUAGAGGAGUGCCUUCGGGAACCGAGUGACAGGUGCUGCAUGGCUGUCGUCAGCUCGUGUCGUGAGAUGUUGGGUUAAGUCCCGUAACGAGCGCAACCCUUGUCCUUAGUUGCCAACCUUACCUUGAGUAAGAGGAACUCUAAGGAGACUGCCGGUGAUAAACCGGAGGAAGGUGGGGACGACGUCAAGUCAUCAUGGCCCUUACGGGUAGGGCUACACACAUGCUACAAUGGGCAGUACAGAGGGUUGCCAAAUCGUGGGAUGGAGCCAAUCCCACAAAGCUGUUCGUAGUUCGGAUUGAAGUCUGCAACUCGACUUCAUGAAG
This 1331-nucleotide ribosomal RNA is filed under the name metagenome. RNAcentral's name for it is "bacterial SSU rRNA". It matches the Rfam family "Bacterial small subunit ribosomal RNA", at positions 8 to 1325 of the family's 1533-position model. The record is from RNAcentral.